RNA transcript from Gadus morhua (Atlantic cod), 4283 nucleotides. It is a transcript of the gene named kelch-like protein 42, with no coding region annotated. The record is from RefSeq and is a predicted model, not a curated record. Lineage: Eukaryota; Metazoa; Chordata; Actinopteri; Gadiformes; Gadidae. The transcript is spliced from 10 exons.
UUCUUUUGACAGAAAAAACUAUUUUAAAUAUUUGUUUAGAUGUAACUCCUUAAGAGGACAUGUUGCACCUCUUACAAUGCAAACUUUUUAUAGUGUUAAAGCUUUGAUUUUCUUUUGAGCCAUCGUAAAGUACAAACAAUUGCUUUUUGCCCUGUUAAUUCUGCCAGACCCUCAAUAACUUGCCAGAUUCAUUGAGACAGAAACUUUUCAGGGAUGCUGUAAGAAAUUGUGUCUGUUGGGUAAAGCAUAGAAUUGGCUACUGGCCUGCUCAGAAGCCGCGUUUAGAUAUUUCAAAAGCUAAUUAAGAUUUUGUACCAUGUGUGCAUUGAGAGCUCUCAGCCACUAUAACUGGCAUGAUAAAACUUCUGAACACUGCAUUAUUUUAUUUUUUUUACAAAGAGUACAAAUAUGUACGCUGUUAUGUCUUAUCGGAUGUCCUCACGGAGGCCUGGCACUGCAUGACCUUGACUGGCCCUGAAUUUGAAGAUGUGGAGUUCCUACUGUUGAGGGUCAGCUUGGCGUUUAAUCUUGUCCAUUUUGAGGGUUCAGGUGUAGGACUUGUCUCCAUUUGUAACCCUUUGCGGGCUGUGGAUGAAGGCUACGCUGUACUGUCUGAACUCCACUGCAUCGGCGAGGUACUCUGGGUGGCACUAUGAAGGCUGAGUCCCAAGAAGACCGAGGAAUCACAUUACCUCCCGAGCCCCGAAUGCCCUCUCACCCACUGCAGCUUGAAAUAAACAAGAGGAACAUGGCUACUACUAGAGUUCAUAGCUUCUCACCUACUGCCGCUUGGAAGAAGGACCGACUUGUAACCACACUAGGAUUGUUUCAGAACCAACCGGAAAACCUCAGUUAAUCGUCUGGGGUUAUAUAGUAUAGUACGUUUUGAUUGGUUUAGUUGGGCUUUAAGCUCUAUUUUCUGUUCUAGAUGUCCGUCUAUAUGAUCAAGAAACGAUCUGUAAUUCUGAGAGGACAAUUCCUGUUGUUUUCAAUUGUAUUUGGCCAUUGUAAUUAAAUAGUUGCAUGUUAUGCAGUAUUUUAAGAAGGAAGAUAUUGGGACACGUUGGUGUAAAAGUUACUGGGAAAAUUAUAACUGUCCCACCCACCAAUAUUGCCUUUUUGAUGCUGUUAGAUACUGUUCAAUCUACGGCCCAUCUAUUUAGAUUGAAUCUUUAUGACUGUUAGUUAUCGUAGUUUCAUUGUGAUCAGUUUUAACCACUUCAAAGAUGAACACCUUUAAACCGUUUAUAAUUCUAUUGUGUCAGUGGAUUCGCUCAAUAGUACAAUAUAUCUUAGUGAGGGUUUGGAAAGCUUUCCCAGCGGCAGUCCAUAUUUUGACGACUCCACCAGAAUGCACGGGCCUGGAGUCUCCCGAAACACCGUCGGAAGAGUGGAGGACCAGUGAGGUGUUGCGAACAUAUCACUCCGGAGGUGAAAGUGCAACCGUAGUGAUGGUUCAAACGGACACACAUGCCUUCCAUGUGGAUCUGGAAAGGCUUUCAGAGUGCAGUGAGUAUUUCCGGGGGCUGUCCCAGUCCAGAAUGAGGGAGUUGUCUGAGGGUCUGAUCCGCCUGGGUCAUGUGCCUUCCUCCAUCUUCCACAACCUCCUCGAGUUCUCCUUCCAUCAGCGGUUCACCGUGCCAGAGGAGGAGCUGGCGGAUACCAUCCAGGUAUCCAGCUACCUCCUGGCUGAGGCCUUCCUCUCAGAGUGUCUGGCGGUCCUCGCCGAAGUGCUCACACCAGAGAACUGCCUGCCCUAUCUCGGCCUGGCCGAGGACAUCAGCUGCGCCAAGCUGAGGACGACAGUGUUCACCUUCCUGAGCAGAAACCUUCUGGAGCAGUCGCACCUGACCCGGGGUGUCAGCCCUGAGGAGAUGGAGGAGCUGAUUGGUCUGAGAGCCCAGGGGCGCCGGGGACUCUGUGUCCUCAGGAAGGAGAACAUCCUAUCCCGGGACGCCCCGGAGACCGCACGCGCCCGCCAUCUCUACAGACUGUCGGAGGACGGGGGAGCCUCGUCGUGGCACCCCAUCUCUGAGCUUCCGUUCAGGGCAGACAAAUGGUGCUACACCGCAGUGGUGCUGUUCAACUACCUGUACAUCCUGGGCGGGUACAGGCAGCCAAUCAGAAGAGGCUGGGAGUUCAAAAUGGCCUCUUUUCGAUACAAUCCUUUGUCACACACAUGGGUCGCCACGGCUCCUCUGAUCAAGCGCAGGAGGCAUUUCAGCGCGGUGGCGUGUGAGGGAGGUAUCUACGCCGUUGGCGGCUGGUAUCUGGACUCCCUGGUGAGUCCGGACUCCAACACAGCCCUGUACACCGCCGUGGAGCGCUACGACCCCUGGGGCGACUCCUGGAGGUUUGUGUCUUCACUUCCUCUAUCUGGUUCCCAGUUCACAGUGUCUAUGUCCCACGACGUUCCCCUGGCAACCAGCUUAGGUCAUUGUGUCUAUGUGCUGGGCAGCAUCCAGAGAACCGGAGAGAAACUACUUCUGCAGUACAACACGACAGAAGACUGCUGGUCGGAGCUUCUCCCUACCCUGACCAGAGCGGACGCCGACCUGCCCACCCUCUACUUCCUGGGUGCCACGGACACCCUGAUCGUGAUUGGAGGAAACGCCGCUGAGAAUGUGGUGACAUCAUUCUGUCCGCGGACACGCCGGUGGGGAGAGAUCCACGCGGCCUCCAAGGUGGCCUUGGCGGGCCAGGGGACUGUGUUAGAGGAGCACGUGCUGAUGCCAGCGACAGAGCACCGAGGAGUGGUGCGGCUGGACCUGCAGGACCUGACCCUGAGCGCGCUGCCUCCUCUGCCUCUGACGGCUCGCUAUGAGGCCGUCUUUCACUUGUACUUUUGAUUACUCUCGAGUAUACUUUGUCCCCCUAACCUCUUCAUCCCCCCCCUCCCAAGGACGUCGUAAGGCAUUUAAACAUACUGCUGGUCGGAGCUUCUCCCUACCCUGACCAGAGCGGACGCCGACCUGCCCGCCCUCUACUUCCUGGGUGCCACGGACACCCUGAUCGUGAUUGGAGGAAACGCCGCUGAGAAUGUGGUGACAUCAUUCUGUCCGCGGACACGCCGGUGGGGAGAGAUCCACGCGGCCUCCAAGGUGGCCUUGGCGGGCCAGGGGACUGUGUUAGAGGAGCACGUGCUGAUGCCAGCGACAGAGCACCGAGGAGUGGUGCGGCUGGACCUGCAGGACCUGACCCUGAGCUUGCUGCCUCCUCUGCCUCUGACGGCUCGCUAUGAGGCCGUCUUUCACUUGUACUUUUGAUUACUCUCGAGUAUACUUUGUCCCCCUAACCUCUUCAUCCCCCCCCUCCCAAGGACGUCGUAAGGCAUUUACACAUGUAAGAAAGCACUUAAAUGUGACACACCCCCAGAACUAUAGUCUUAUCUCAACAUUAACUUUCAGUCUAGUAUAACCAGUAUACCAUUAGCUCAAUUAAACACAAUUCCAACCCCAAGCAAAAUGAUAAGCAUGUGAAAACAAGUUGCAUGCUUUAUGUUUAGUAUUUAUGUAGCUAUGCAUUUAAUAACUGUGCAGGUGUACAAGCCCAGCAAUAGCAAUCUUUUUCAUUCCUAUAACAAUACCCAUAUCACUCAGUGACCAAAACUUGCUGAAAAGAAACAGAGCAAGUACAACCACCAAUGAUGUCUUACCGAUGUUGUUCAACUCAUCAAAGUUUUGUUUAAUUGCAUUAAAUCGCCAUAAACUGAUAAUCCAUUGUCUGGGCACCAUUCUGAAACCUCAAAUACUGUUUACGAUCAGUGAGUCCAGACUAUUGUCUUGUUACUUUGGAAGGUUCCUAACUGGGUGAAAUGACCCAGAAGUAUCUGAGUGGCAGCCACAAUAAGAGCUGGAUUCUCUAAAUAAUAGGGAGAUUCAAUGCUUCCUUUCUUAUUUCCUUUAGUUACCUUUAGCAUAAGUGUAGUCGGAUUCUCUGUAGUCCAUUCCUAAAUCCUUCACAUCUUCCCUUGACCUCCUGACGUUUUCCAUCGAGGUCAAGGAGAAGAGGUGAGGAAAGGACAAAGGAUGUUAUUAUUAGUUAUUACUACCACAGUCUUUAUUGCCAGCUAGUGGCCUCAUGUUGCACCUGCAUGGUUUGGCGGGGGUCAUUCAAUUAUAUUCGUCCUGACCUUUCAAUAGAGGGGUCAUAUUAUGUCAAAAUGGGAUUAUGCGUUGUUUAGAUACUGACCUGUUUGUUUGUAAACUAGUUUGUAUUAUCAUUUUUGAAUUGGAUUUAUUGUUUAUAUUUUAAGUUUGUUUGUCAUUGUGGGAAUUGUUUAU